UACGAAGGGGGCUAGCGUUGCUCGGAAUCACUGGGCGUAAAGCGCACGUAGGCGGCUUUCUAAGUCAGGGGUGAAAUCCCGGGGCUCAACCCCGGAACUGCCUUUGAUACUGGCAUUCUCGAGUCCGGAAGAGGUGAGUGGAAUUCCGAGUGUAGAGGUGAAAUUCGUAGAUAUUCGGAGGAACACCAGUGGCGAAGGCGGCUCACUGGUCCGGUACUGACGCUGAGGUGCGAAAGCGUGGGGAGCAAACAGG
RNAcentral lists this ribosomal RNA (253 nucleotides) under uncultured bacterium. RNAcentral's name for it is "partial 16S ribosomal RNA". It matches the Rfam family "Bacterial small subunit ribosomal RNA", at positions 524 to 776 of the family's 1533-position model. The record is from RNAcentral.